UGCAGUCGAGCGGAUGAAGGGAGCUUGCUCCUGGAUUCAGCGGCGGACGGGUGAGUAAUGCCUAGGAAUCUGCCUGGUAGUGGGGGAUAACGUCCGGAAACGGGCGCUAAUACCGCAUACGUCCUGAGGGAGAAAGUGGGGGAUCUUCGGACCUCACGCUAUCAGAUGAGCCUAGGUCGGAUUAGCUAGUUGGUGGGGUAACGGCCUACCAAGGCGACGAUCCGUAACUGGUCUGAGAGGAUGAUCAGUCACACUGGAACUGAGACACGGUCCAGACUCCUACGGGAGGCAGCAGUGGGGAAUAUUGGACAAUGGGCGAAAGCCUGAUCCAGCCAUGCCGCGUGUGUGAAGAAGGUCUUCGGAUUGUAAAGCACUUUAAGUUGGGAGGAAGGGCAGUAAGUUAAUACCUUGCUGUUUUGACGUUACCAACAGAAUAAGCACCGGCUAACUUCGUGCCAGCAGCCGCGGUAAUACGAAGGGUGCAAGCGUUAAUCGGAAUUACUGGGCGUAAAGCGCGCGUAGGUGGUUCAGCAAGUUGGAUGUGAAAUCCCCGGGCUCAACCUGGGAACUGCAUCCAAAACUACUGAGCUAGAGUACGGUAGAGGGUGGUGGAAUUUCCUGUGUAGCGGUGAAAUGCGUAGAUAUAGGAAGGAACACCAGUGGCGAAGGCGACCACCUGGACUGAUACUGACACUGAGGUGCGAAAGCGUGGGGAGCAAACAGGAUUAGAUACCCUGGUAGUCCACGCCGUAAACGAUGUCGACUAGCCGUUGGGAUCCUUGAGAUCUUAGUGGCGCAGCUAACGCGAUAAGUCGACCGCCUGGGGAGUACGGCCGCAAGGUUAAAACUCAAAUGAAUUGACGGGGGCCCGCACAAGCGGUGGAGCAUGUGGUUUAAUUCCAAGCAACGCGAAGAACCUUACCUGGCCUUGACAUGCUGAGAACUUUCCAAAAAUGAAUGGUGCC
This 965-nucleotide ribosomal RNA is filed under the name Pseudomonas aeruginosa. RNAcentral describes it as "bacterial SSU rRNA". It matches the Rfam family "Bacterial small subunit ribosomal RNA", at positions 56 to 1017 of the family's 1533-position model. The record is from RNAcentral. Lineage: Bacteria; Pseudomonadati; Pseudomonadota; Gammaproteobacteria; Pseudomonadales; Pseudomonadaceae.